UUUUGUAUAACUCUUCUAGAAAU
Molecule: microRNA, 23 nt
Filed under: Haemonchus contortus (barber pole worm)
Lineage: Eukaryota; Metazoa; Nematoda; Chromadorea; Rhabditida; Trichostrongylidae
Description: hco-miR-5897a
Source: miRBase by way of RNAcentral